AUCUGGGGAGGCGCUGCUUUCUUUAAGCGGGGGCGUCUGCUCAUCAGACACAUUCAAAAGCAGCAACAGUUGCUGCAAAUAGUAAACCCAUUAGUGCAGCAGAUACAAUUUUUAAACACUGUGUAGGUUGGGGAUGGGUAUUUUCAUGGAUGGCUAGGCUCUCAUCUCUCAGUAGUGUCAUCUUCAAAAUCAAAUGACAGCUCUACUAUACACAUGUCACCCGAAGACCAUACUUAACAACAAAUGACAAGACAGGAUCACAGGCAAGGAGUGUUGCUCGUCGUGAAACACCACACCUUCCCCUAAAUCGGUCCGCGCUUCAUUAUCCUGUCAUCCCUCCAUCCGCUCUAGAAAGUUGGUGGAUUUGGAAUGAAGAUCUGCAGGCAGAGAAACCCAGGCAAACCGCUUCCCUUCUCCGGAAAGCAGGGAUCAGUCCCAGGACACACAGCCGGAAACUGGGGCCAGUGGCACAGCAGAGUCUUGGACCAGAAGGGAGAGGAAUGAAAAUGUUUUCGUGCACGCCCACCCACCACCGGAAAUCAUGAACGAUUAUAGAACCGUGUCGGAGAUGGUGCUGUGGAGGGAUUCCGCCUUUCACGGAUUUGUCAGGCGAUCUGCCUGGCGGGGGAGGAAGUGGCUGAUCGGAGUCCCUGGUGAUCAUUUGGCUUUUCUAAUUCUCUCUCACAACAUGUGGGUAUACCACACGCUAGUUGC
This is a long non-coding RNA of Ornithorhynchus anatinus (platypus), 714 nucleotides long. RefSeq lists it as uncharacterized. Lineage: Eukaryota; Metazoa; Chordata; Mammalia; Monotremata; Ornithorhynchidae. The record is from RefSeq and is a predicted model, not a curated record. The transcript has 3 exons.